Molecule: long non-coding RNA, 1122 nt
Filed under: Homo sapiens (human)
Lineage: Eukaryota; Metazoa; Chordata; Mammalia; Primates; Hominidae
Description: HSALNT0348463
Source: RNAcentral
AAAUAGAGCUGUUCUUCUUAAGCAGAGAGAUGCCUAUUGUGUGGGUAAUUACAGGGAGGCCCGGCUGACCUGGCAAUGAGGUAGGGUAGCUAAAUACCUGAAGGCAAGGGGAGCGUCUGAAGUGAAAGCGAAGGCCCCAUCUGCCAGGCUGUAAUGAUUGUGCUAUUUGGAGGCAGAAAGGUUUGUCUGGAGCAGCUGGUUUCUCUCCAAGUGACCUUUUAGCAUUUCUGCUUUUGCCGUCUGACAGAUGUGUCAACUCAAUAAUUUCAAAAGCCCCUGAGUAAAUAACCAAUUGUGAGCAAGGAUGACCCAAAGCGAUGACAAAAUGGCUGCACGCGGCACAUUAUGGAGCAUAAUACCGAGUGACGGAACAGGGAACAUUAUCAGAAGGAAAAAACAUUUUCGUCUUUAGUUGGGACUAAAUGGCUCUCCUACCCACACUUCAGUUGUUCUUGAAGCGGGGAAGAAAGGGAAAUGCGCUGACACGGAGGGACGCGGCGGCGGCCUUGCCCUUGAAAGCCCGCGUUACCGGGCGCGGGACUCAGCUGGCGUCAGGGCGCUGGAAAUGGACUCCCGCGCGCUCGCCCCCGCUCUGCCGGAGGACCCAGCCCGGGCUAAUUGGCGCUGUGAAUGAUUCGGGGCUGUGAACAGGCGACUGCAAUCAGACUAGGGCUGAUGGCGUUGGGAGUCUUGCAGAGUUUGCACUGGCAAGGCAGGUGCGGCCGGGCUGCUUUUAUCCGGGAACUAAGCGGGAGGGGGCCCAGAGGCCAACGCUGCAAGGAUCUAGUGCAGCAGGGGCCAGAGCUUCAGGGAAUAAGAUUGCCCAGGAUUCCUCGGGGGGCAAGCAGAGCACCCUUGCGUGGAAAUCUGAUUGAUUCACCGUAUGCAUAUUUUUUGCCAGGCUUUUUAAACCCUUCACUGCUCCACUGGAAACACCACCAAACUAAGGCCUUUGGGAUAAAAUGCCAGACAAGACACAGUCGUCGCCUUCAAGGGGAUUUAAGUCUAGCAGGAGUGGGAGAAGUUGAAAAGAACACAAGAUUGUGGUCCAACUUCAAGCUGAAGAAUGUAAGUCACUUUUCAAGAUACUUUUCAUGUCCUGCAUGAGAACUUAGAGCUUAG